AUUGAACGCUAGCGGGAUGCUUUACACAUGCAAGUCGAACGGAGUGGCGGACGGGUGAGUAAUAUAUCGGAACGUGCCCAGUAGCGGGGGAUAACUACUAGAAAGAGUGGCUAAUACCGCAUACUAUAGGAGCGGCCCAUAUAGGAUUAGCUAGUUGGUGGGGUAAAGGCUCACCAAGGCAACGAUCCGUAGCUGGUUUGAGAGGAGGACCAGCCACACUGGGACGGAGACACGGCCCAGACUCCUACGGGAGGCAGCAGUGGGGAAUUUUGGGCAAUGGGGGAAACCCUGAUGCAGCCAUCCCGCGUGUAUGAAGAAGGCCGUCGGGUUGUAAAGUACUUUUGGCAGAGAAGCGUUAGCUGCAGAAUAAGCACCGGCUAACUACGUGCCAGCAGCCGCGGUAAUUC
RNAcentral lists this ribosomal RNA (407 nucleotides) under uncultured bacterium. Its description in RNAcentral is "partial 16S ribosomal RNA". It matches the Rfam family "Bacterial small subunit ribosomal RNA", at positions 30 to 526 of the family's 1533-position model. The record is from RNAcentral.